RNAcentral lists this ribosomal RNA (464 nucleotides) under uncultured bacterium. RNAcentral's name for it is "partial 16S ribosomal RNA". It matches the Rfam family "Bacterial small subunit ribosomal RNA", at positions 29 to 507 of the family's 1533-position model. The record is from RNAcentral.
ACGCACGCUGGCGGCGUGCUUAACACCUGCAAGUCGAACGGAAAGGCCCUGCUUGCAGGGUACUCGAGUGGCGAACGGGUGAGUAACACGUGGGUGAUCUGCCCUGCACUUCGGGAUAAGCCUGGGAAACUGGGUCUAAUACCGGAUAGGAGCCAUUUUUAGUGUGAUGGUUGGAAAGUUUUUUCGGUGUAGGAUGAGCUCGCGGCCUAUCAGCUUGUUGGUGGGGUAAUGGCCUACCAAGGCGGCGACGGGUAGCCGGCCUGAGAGGGUGGACGGCCACAUUGGGACUGAGAUACGGCCCAGACUCCUACGGGAGGCAGCAGUGGGGAAUAUUGCACAAUGGGCGCAAGCCUGAUGCAGCGACGCCGCGUGGGGGAUGACGGCCUUCGGGUUGUAAACUCCUUUCGCUAGGGACGAAGCUUUUUGUGACGGUACCUAGAGAAGAAGCACCGGCUAACUACGUG